RNAcentral lists this ribosomal RNA (266 nucleotides) under uncultured bacterium. Its description in RNAcentral is "partial 16S ribosomal RNA". It matches the Rfam family "Bacterial small subunit ribosomal RNA", at positions 793 to 1055 of the family's 1533-position model. The record is from RNAcentral.
GUCCACGCCGUAAACGAUGAGUGCUAGGUGUCACGGGCUUUGACCCUCGUGGUGCCGCAGCUAACGCGUUAAGCACUCCGCCUGGGGAGUACGGCCGCAAGGCUAAAACUCAAAGGAAUUGACGGGGGCCCGCACAAGCGGUGGAGCAUGUUGUUCAAUUCGACGCAACGCGAAGAACCUUACCUGGGCUAGAAAGUACGGGAAUUCGGGCGAAAGUUCGAAGUGCCCUUCGGGGAACCCGUAGUUAGGUGCUGCAUGGCUGUCGU